GAUGAACGCUGGCGGCGUGCCUAAUACAUGCAAGUCGAGCGAACAGACGAGGAGCUUGCUCCUCUGACGUUAGCGGCGGACGGGUGAGUAACACGUGGAUAACCUACCUAUAAGACUGGGAUAACUUCGGGAAACCGGAGCUAAUACCGGAUAAUAUAUUGAACCGCAUGGUUCAAUAGUGAAAGACGGUUUUGCUGUCACUUAUAGAUGGAUCCGCGCCGCAUUAGCUAGUUGGUAAGGUAACGGCUUACCAAGGCAACGAUGCGUAGCCGACCUGAGAGGGUGAUCGGCCACACUAGAACUGCGACACGGUCCAGACUCCUACGGGAGGCAGCAGUAGGGAAUCUUCCGCAAUGGGCGAAAGCCUGACGGAGCAACGCCGCGUGAGUGAUGAAGGUCUUCGGAUCGUAAAACUCUGUUAUUAGGGAAGAACAAAUGUGUAAGUAACUAUGCACGUCUUGACGGUACCUAAUCAGAAAGCCACGGCUAACUACGUG
This 497-nucleotide ribosomal RNA is filed under the name uncultured bacterium. RNAcentral's name for it is "partial 16S ribosomal RNA". It matches the Rfam family "Bacterial small subunit ribosomal RNA", at positions 28 to 507 of the family's 1533-position model. The record is from RNAcentral.